This 772-nucleotide ribosomal RNA is filed under the name Pyronemataceae sp. Its description in RNAcentral is "partial large subunit ribosomal RNA". It matches the Rfam family "Eukaryotic large subunit ribosomal RNA", at positions 77 to 899 of the family's 3401-position model. Lineage: Eukaryota; Fungi; Ascomycota; Pezizomycetes; Pezizales; Pyronemataceae. The record is from RNAcentral.
GCCUCAGUACUGCGAGUGAGCGGCAAGCUCAAUUUGAAUCUGGCCCGUCUCUGGCGGCCCGAGUUGUAUUUGGAGGGGCAUUUUCGGAGUGGCGCCGUCCUAGUUCCUUGGACAGGACGUCACAGAGGGUGAGAUCCGUGCCUGGAUGGCUGUCCCGCUCCAUGUGAGGUGUCUCCGACGAGUCGAGUUGUUUGGGAAUGCAGCUCAAAUGGGUGGUAAAUUUCAUCUAAAGCUAAAUAUUGGCGAGAGACCGAUAGCGCACAAGUAGAGUGAUCGAAAGAUGAAAAGCACUUUGAAAAGAGAGUUAAAAGUACGUGAAAUUGUUGAAAGGGAAGCGCUUGAGACCAGACUCAGCCGCUGACGAUCAACGGUGCUUCUGUGCCGUGCACUCGCCAGUGUUGGGCCAGCAUCGGUUCCGGCGGCGGGAAAAAGGCCUGGGCAAUGUGGCUCCCUCGGGGAGUGUAUAGGCCCAGGUGUCAUACGCCAGCCGGACCGAGGACCGCGCUUCGGCUAGGAUGCUGGCGUAAUGGUCUUAAGCGACCCGUCUGAAACACGGACCAGAGUCUACAUCUAUGCGAGUGUUCGGGUGAAACCCUGCGCGUAAUGAAAGUGAACGGAGGUGGGAACCCUCGGGUGCACCAUCGACCGAUCCUGAUGUCUCGAAGAUUGAGUAGGAGCAUAGCUGUGGACCGGAAGAUGGUGAACUAUGCCUGAAUAGGGUGAAGCCAGAGGAAACUCUGGUGGAGGCUCGCAGCGGUCUGACGUGCAAAUC